AUGGCCACCAAGGAAGUUGCUAGUGAAUAACCUAUUGAAUAGUGUUAUGAAGAAGUUGAAUUGUCGUUCGGUUGCGGGUCCCAUGUGGAAAUAUUUGAAGGUAAAGCCUUGAUAUAUUGAUUUAUUUAAUAAAAUUGCUUUGAGUUAUGGCUAUGCAUGACUAUUUUAACUUUGUGUCAUGUUAAUGUGCGCAACAAGACAACGACGCUGAUUGUGCCCUGUACGUGAUGAGGUUUAUGCAUGACAUAGUCAAUAGGUGCACUGAAGCCCAACACAUUGAGGAGGUUUGUAAGAUUCAAAGGGAAGGCCCUUUGACAAGGGAAGAAGUUGAUGAAAUUCGCGACAUGUGGGCUUUUUUGUGACAUUUGAUGGCAUCUAGGUAGAAUAUAUAAUAUAUAUGUGUUAGUUAGAUAAUGAAUGAGAUUGAGUUUUUUUUUUAUGAACAAUUAAUAUUUAGUUCCUAUCUUUUUUAUUUUUUUUAAAUAUAUAUGUACAUUAUAUUACUUA
This is a long non-coding RNA of Chenopodium quinoa (quinoa), 507 nucleotides long. RefSeq lists it as uncharacterized. Lineage: Eukaryota; Viridiplantae; Streptophyta; Magnoliopsida; Caryophyllales; Amaranthaceae. The record is from RefSeq and is a predicted model, not a curated record. The transcript is spliced from 3 exons.